GAUGAACGCUGGCGGCGUGCCUAAUACAUGCAAGUCGAGCGAACAGAUGAGGAGCUUGCUCCUCUGACGUUAGCGGCGGACGGGUGAGUAACACGUGGAUAACCUACCUAUAAUACUGGGAUAACUUCGGGAAAACGGAGCUAAUACCGGAUAAUAUAUUGAACCGCAUAGUUCAAUAGUGAAAGACGGUUUUGCUGUCACUUAUAGAUGGAUCCGCGCCGCAUUAGCUAGUUGGUAAGGUAACGGCUUACCAAGGCAACGAUGCGUAGCCGACCUGAGAGGGUGAUCGGCCACACUGGAACUGAGACACGGUCCAGACUCCUACGGGAGGCAGCAGUAGGGAAUCUUCCGCAAUGGGCGAAAGCCUGACGGAGCAACGCCGCGUGAGUGAUGAAGGUCUUCGGAUCGUAAAACUCUGUUAUUAGGGAAGAACAAAUGUGUAAGUAACUAUGCACGUCUUGACGGUACCUAAUCAGAAAGCCACGGCUAACUACGUG
This 497-nucleotide ribosomal RNA is filed under the name uncultured bacterium. Its description in RNAcentral is "partial 16S ribosomal RNA". It matches the Rfam family "Bacterial small subunit ribosomal RNA", at positions 28 to 507 of the family's 1533-position model. The record is from RNAcentral.